RNAcentral lists this ribosomal RNA (233 nucleotides) under uncultured bacterium. Its description in RNAcentral is "partial 16S ribosomal RNA". It matches the Rfam family "Bacterial small subunit ribosomal RNA", at positions 99 to 334 of the family's 1533-position model. The record is from RNAcentral.
CGGACGGGUGAGUAAUGUCUGGGAAACUAGCCUGAUGAGGGGGAGUAACUACUGGAAACGGUAGCUAAUACCGCAUAACGUCGCAAGACCAAAGAGGGGGACCUUCGGGCCUCUUGCCAUCGGAUGUGCCCAGAUGGGAUUAGCUAGUAGGUGGGGUAACGGCUCACCUAGGCGACGAUCCCUAGCUGGUCUGAGAGGAUGACCAGCCACACCGGAACUGAGACACGGUCCAG